This 468-nucleotide ribosomal RNA is filed under the name uncultured bacterium. RNAcentral's name for it is "partial 16S ribosomal RNA". It matches the Rfam family "Bacterial small subunit ribosomal RNA", at positions 28 to 507 of the family's 1533-position model. The record is from RNAcentral.
GACGAACGCUGGCGGCGUGCUUAACACAUGCAAGUCGAACGGAAAGGCCCUGCUUUCGUGGGGUGCUCGAGUGGCGAACGGGUGAGUAACACGUGAGUAACCUGCCCUGGACUUUGGGAUAACUUCAGGAAACUGGGGCUAAUACCGGAUAGGAGCUCCUGCUGCAUGGUGGGGGUUGGAAAGUUUCGGCGGUUGGGGAUGGACUCGCGGCUUAUCAGCUUGUUGGUGGGGUAGUGGCUUACCAAGGCUUUGACGGGUAGCCGGCCUGAGAGGGUGACCGGCCACAUUGGGACUGAGAUACGGCCCAGACUCCUACGGGAGGCAGCAGUGGGGAAUAUUGCACAAUGGGCGGAAGCCUGAUGCAGCAACGCCGCGUGCGGGAUGACGGCCUUCGGGUUGUAAACCGCUUUCGCCUGUGACGAAGCGUGAGUGACGGUAAUGGGUAAAGAAGCACCGGCUAACUACGUG